This 245-nucleotide ribosomal RNA is filed under the name uncultured Lactobacillus sp. RNAcentral's name for it is "partial 16S ribosomal RNA". It matches the Rfam family "Bacterial small subunit ribosomal RNA", at positions 118 to 354 of the family's 1533-position model. The record is from RNAcentral. Lineage: Bacteria; Bacillati; Bacillota; Bacilli; Lactobacillales; Lactobacillaceae.
UGGGGAACCUGCCCCAUAGUCUGGGAUACCACUUGGAAACAGGUGCUAAUACCGGAUAAGAAAGCAGAUUGCAUGAUCAGCUUUUAAAAGGCGGCGUAAGCUGUCGCUAUGGGAUGGCCCCGCGGUGCAUUAGCUAGUUGGUAAGGUAAAGGCUUACCAAGGCGAUGAUGCAUAGCCGAGUUGAGAGACUGAUCGGCCACAUUGGGACUGAGACACGGCCCAAACUCCUACGGGAGGCAGCAGGA